AGGGAUUGCCCCAGUAACGGCGAGUGAAGCGGCAACAGCUCAAAUUUGAAAUCUGGCCCCUAGGGCCCGAGUUGUAAUUUGCAGAGGAUGCUUUUGGCGAGGUGCCUUCCGAGUUCCCUGGAACGGGACGCCACAGAGGGUGAGAGCCCCGUCUGGUUGGAUACCGAGCCUCUGUAAAGCUCCUUCGACGAGUCGAGUAGUUUGGGAAUGCUGCUCUAAAUGGGAGGUAUAUGUCUUCUAAAGCUAAAUACCGGCCAGAGACCGAUAGCGCACAAGUAGAGUGAUCGAAAGAUGAAAAGCACUUUGAAAAGAGGGUUAAAUAGUACGUGAAAUUGUUGAAAGGGAAGCGCUUAUGACCAGACUUGGGCCCGGUGAAUCAUCCAGCGUUCUCGCUGGUGCACUUUGCCGGGCUCAGGCCAGCAUCAGUUUGCCCCGGGGGAUAAAGGCUUUGGGAAUGUGGCUCUUUCGGGAGUGUUAUAGCCCACUGCACAAUACCCUGAGGCGGACUGAGGUUCGCGCAUCUGCAAGGAUGCUGGCGUAAUGGUCAUCAGCGACCCGUCUUGAAACACGGACCAAGGAGUCGUCUUCGUAUGCGAGUGUUCGGGUGUAAAACCCCUACGCGUAAUGAAAGUGAACGCAGGUGAGAGCUUCGGCGCAUCAUCGACCGAUCCUGAUGUUCUCGGAUGGAUUUGAGUAAGAGCAUACGGGGCCGGACCCGAAAGAAGGUGAACUAUGCCUGUAUAGGGUGAAGCCAGAGGAAACUCUGGUGGAGGCUCGCAGCGGUUCUGACGUGCAAAUCGAUCGUCAAAUAUGGGCAUGGGGGCGAAAGACUAAUCGAACCUUCUAGUAGCUGGUUUCCGCCGAAGUUUCCCUCAGGAUAGCAGUGUUGAACUCAGUUUUAUGAGGUAAAGCGAAUGAUUAGGGACCCGGGGGCGCUUCUUAGCCUUCAUCCAUUCUCAAACUUUAAAUAUGUAAGAAGCCCUUGUUACUUAGUUGAACGUGGGCAUUCGAAUGUAUCAACACUAGUGGGCCAUUUUUGGUAAGCAGAACUGGCGAUGCGGGAUGAACCGAACGCGAGGUUAAGGUGCCAGAGUAGACGCUCAUCAGACACCACAAAAGGUGUUAGUACAUCUUGACAGCAGGACGGUGGCCAUGGAAGUCGGAAUCCGCUAAGGACUGUGUAACAACUCACCUGCCGAAUGUACUAGCCCUGAAAAUGGAUGGCGCUCAAGCGUCUCACCCAUACCUCGCCCUCAGGGUAGAAACGAAGCCCUGAGGAGUAGGCGGACGUGGAGGUCAGUGACGAAGCCUAGGGCG
Molecule: ribosomal RNA, 1317 nt
Filed under: Metarhizium granulomatis
Lineage: Eukaryota; Fungi; Ascomycota; Sordariomycetes; Hypocreales; Clavicipitaceae
Description: eukaryotic LSU rRNA
Rfam family: Eukaryotic large subunit ribosomal RNA
Source: RNAcentral